CAAUUUUAGGUCACUGCACGGUCUCCAACAUUGAGACUUAACCAUACCUCAUAGUAAGCUAUAGCAGAUUGAUUGGUGGUUGUUUCAGGCUUUUAAAAAACCUUAGACAAAUGACAAAAAAAAACAAAUAAGAAAACUUGCUGUCUUAUAUACAAAAUAAUAAAGGAAAAACAAAUAUGAUGAACGGAAUUACAGGCUACUACUCACAAGUAAACAUACAGAUAGUGACAGGGUAAAGGAGUCUUGCUAGCGCUUAAUAGUUUACAUAUGAAAUUUGUCAGAUCGAAAUCGACCAAAUGCAAGUGCACGUAAACAUGUACUUGUCUAAAAGACGGACGAAAGAUACCAAAGGGACAGUCAAACUCAUAAAUCUAAAACAAACUGACAACGCCGUGGCUAAAAAUGAAAAAGACAAACAAACAACAGCACACAGACACAACAUAGGAAACUAAAGAAUAAACAACAAGAACCCCACCAAAAAACUAGGGGUGAUCUCAGGUGCUCCGGAAGGGUAAGCAGAUCCUGCUCCACAUGCGGCACCCGUUCAUGAUCCCUUCUGUAGCCAGUUAACUACGAACUUUUCAAACUGCAAUAGUAUCAAGACAACAAAUAUAUUAAAUUAUAAAGAUAUGCCAUUUUGUUCGUAUACCAAGGGGAAACUCCUUGCAAAGAAUUAUUGUUAACUGUUUCAUUGCAUUUUAAUAGAAAAAAGUG
Molecule: long non-coding RNA, 714 nt
Filed under: Mytilus galloprovincialis (Mediterranean mussel)
Lineage: Eukaryota; Metazoa; Mollusca; Bivalvia; Mytilida; Mytilidae
Source: RNAcentral